Molecule: ribosomal RNA, 485 nt
Filed under: uncultured organism
Description: bacterial SSU rRNA
Rfam family: Bacterial small subunit ribosomal RNA
Source: RNAcentral
GACGAACGCUGGCGGCGUGCCUAACACAUGCAAGUCGAGCGUGAUCCUGUGAGAGGAGUUUUCGGACGAAUCGAGCAGGUGAAAGCGGCGAACGGGUGAGUAACGCGUGGGUAACCUACCUUAUACAGGGGGAUAACACCGGGAAACCGGUGCUAAUACCGCAUAACACAUGAAGGUGGCAUCACCUUUAUGUCAAAGGAGUAACAUCCGGUAUAAGAUGGGCCCGCGUCCAAUUAGCUAGUUGGUGAGGUAACGGCUCACCAAGGCGACGAUUGGUAGCCGAGCUGAGAGGUUGAUCGGCCACAUUGGGACUGAGACACGGCCCAGACUCCUACGGGAGGCAGCAGUGGGGAAUAUUGCACAAUGGGGGAAACCCUGAUGCAGCGACGCCGCGUGAAGGAAGAAGGUCUUCGGAUCGUAAACUUCUUUGAUUGGGGAAGAAGUAAGUGACGGUACCCAAGGAACAAGCCACGGCUAACUACGUG